This 468-nucleotide ribosomal RNA is filed under the name uncultured bacterium. Its description in RNAcentral is "partial 16S ribosomal RNA". It matches the Rfam family "Bacterial small subunit ribosomal RNA", at positions 28 to 507 of the family's 1533-position model. The record is from RNAcentral.
GACGAACGCUGGCGGCGUGCUUAACACAUGCAAGUCGAACGGAAAGGCCCUGCUUUUGUGGGGUACUCGAGUGGCGAACGGGUGAGUAACACGUGAGUAACCUGCCCUUGACUUUGGGAUAACUUCAGGAAACUGGGGCUAAUACCGGAUAGGAGCUCCUGCUGCAUGGGGGGGGUUGGAAAGUUUCGGCGGUUGGGGAUGGACUCGCGGCUUAUCAGCUUGUUGGUGGGGUAGUGGCUUACCAAGGCUUUGACGGGUAGCCGGCCUGAGAGGGUGACCGGCCACAUUGGGACUGAGAUACGGCCCAGACUCCUACGGGAGGCAGCAGUGGGGAAUAUUGCACAAUGGGCGGAAGCCUGAUGCAGCAACGCCGCGUGCGGGAUGACGGCCUUCGGGUUGUAAACCGCUUUCGCCUGUGACGAAGCGUGAGUGACGGUAAUGGGUAAAGAAGCACCGGCUAACUACGUG